RNAcentral lists this unclassified non-coding RNA (603 nucleotides) under Hevea brasiliensis (rubber tree). The record is from RNAcentral. Lineage: Eukaryota; Viridiplantae; Streptophyta; Magnoliopsida; Malpighiales; Euphorbiaceae.
AGAACCUCUCCUGAUAUUAGCACAGAACUAGUUAGUCCACAUGACAAAACUCAAAUUGCUGCAACAACAAAAACUAGAUUCACCUAAUUGAAACUAACAGGCAGCUCCACUAAUUAAAACUAAUGGACAACUUGGCUAAAAAAAGGUGUAGUAGAUAAAUCAAGGGCUAAUUUAAUACAUCAGCAGUAAAAACCAAUCAGACAACAUGUACAGAAACAGAAUCUGAGCAUAACAAAGGUUAAAGCCUUAACCUUAAAGAUACAUGUUCAAAUGAAAAAGACCAAUGCCUGUGGUAACAUUUUCCCUCUAUAUGUUAAUGUUCUAUAAUAUCACAAUGUUUAAGCAUACAAUGGACAAGAAGUUGCAUAACCCAUAAAGGUGGAAUCAAUGUCUAAAAUGUUCAGGUUGCUACAGCACAAUUAGUUUCCCCUUAUUAAGAGAGCAAAUGUAAUUAUCCUUCCAAAACUUGAGACAUAGACCACUAUUAUUGAGAUUCUAACCUGAUGUUCAUAGAACUGCUCUAACAAGGGGAACGUAGAAGAAGUGUUCAGCAGAUUUGCAAUAUGCAAAGCACGAGAAGCAACAAAAGCAUUGUCAUGGUAU